UAACACCGGCAGCUCAAGUGGUAGCCAUGCUUAUUGGGUCUAAAGCGUCCGUAGCCGGCUGAGUAAGUUCCUUGGGAAAUUUGACCGCUUAACGGUUAAGCUAUCAGGGAAUACUGCUUGGCUUGGGACCGGGAGAGGUCAGAGGUACUCCAGGGGUAGGGGUGAAAUCUAUUAACCCUUGGGGGACCACCGGUAGCGAAGGCGUCUGACCAGACCGGGUCCGACGGUGAGGGACGAAGGCUGGGGUCGCGAACCGGAUUAGAUACCCGGGUAGUCCCAGCUGUAAACGAUGCGGGCCAGGUGUUGGCAUUACUGCGAGUGAUGUCAGUGCCAAAGGGAAGCCGUUAAGCCCGCCAUCUGGGGAGUACGGUCGCAAGGCUG
RNAcentral lists this ribosomal RNA (381 nucleotides) under uncultured archaeon. Its description in RNAcentral is "bacterial SSU rRNA". It matches the Rfam family "Archaeal small subunit ribosomal RNA", at positions 471 to 851 of the family's 1478-position model. The record is from RNAcentral.